CGUGUAGGCGGGUCGCUAAGUCAGGGGUGAAAUGCCAAGGCUCAACCUUGGAACUGCCUUUGAUACUGGAGAUCUUGAGUCCGGGAGAGGUGAGUGGAACUGCGAGUGUAGAGGUGAAAUUCGUAGAUAUUCGCAAGAACACCAGUGGCGAAGGCGGCUCACUGGCCCGGAACUGACGCUGAGACGCGAAAGCGUGGGGAGCAAACAGGAUUAGAUACCCUGGUAGUCCACGCUGUAAACGAUGGAUGCUAGCCGUUGGGGAGCUUGCUCUUCAGUGGCGCCGCUAACGCUUUAAGCAUCCCGCCUGGGGAGUACGGUCGCAAGAUUAAA
This 330-nucleotide ribosomal RNA is filed under the name uncultured bacterium. RNAcentral describes it as "bacterial SSU rRNA". It matches the Rfam family "Bacterial small subunit ribosomal RNA", at positions 568 to 898 of the family's 1533-position model. The record is from RNAcentral.